GGGCCCGCACAAGCGGCGGAGCAUGCGGAUUAAUUCGAUGCAACGCGAAGAACCUUACCUGGGUUUGACAUAUGCCGGAAAGCUCCAGAGAUGGAGCCCCUUUUGUCGGUAUACAGGUGGUGCAUGGCUGUCGUCAGCUCGUGUCGUGAGAUGUUGGGUUAAGUCCCGCAACGAGCGCAACCCUCGUCCUAUGUUGCCAGCGGGUAAUGCCGGGGACUCAUAGGAGACUGCCGGGGUCAACUCGGAGGAAGGUGGGGAUGACGUCAAGUCAUCAUGCCCCUUAUGUCCAGGGCUUCACGCAUGCUACAAUGGCCGGUACAAAGGGCUGCGAUAUCGCAAGAUGGAGCGAAUCCCAAAAAGCCGGUCUCAGUUCGGAUUGGGGUCUGCAACUCGACCCCAUGAAGUCGGAGUCGCUAGUAAUCGCAGAUCAGCAACGCUGCGGUGAAUACGUUCCCGGGCCUU
RNAcentral lists this ribosomal RNA (462 nucleotides) under uncultured bacterium. RNAcentral describes it as "bacterial SSU rRNA". It matches the Rfam family "Bacterial small subunit ribosomal RNA", at positions 917 to 1382 of the family's 1533-position model. The record is from RNAcentral.